UAUUAUGGAGAGUUUGAUCCUGGCUCAGGAUGAACGCUGGCGGCGUGCCUAAUACAUGCAAGUCGAGCGAACCACUUCGGUGGUGAGCGGCGAACGGGUGAGUAACACGUAGGUUAUCUGCCCAUCAGACGGGGACAACGAUUGGAAACGAUCGCUAAUACCGGAUAGGACGAAAGUUUAAAGGUGCUUCGGCACCACUGAUGGAUGAGCCUGCGGCGCAUUAGCUAGUUGGUAGGGUAAAGGCCUACCAAGGCGACGAUGCGUAGCCGACCUGAGAGGGUGAACGGCCACACUGGGACUGAGACACGGCCCAGACUCCUACGGGAGGCAGCAGUAGGGAAUCUUCGGCAAUGGGCGAAAGCCUGAC
RNAcentral lists this ribosomal RNA (367 nucleotides) under Bifidobacterium adolescentis. RNAcentral's name for it is "bacterial SSU rRNA". It matches the Rfam family "Bacterial small subunit ribosomal RNA", at positions 1 to 387 of the family's 1533-position model. The record is from RNAcentral. Lineage: Bacteria; Bacillati; Actinomycetota; Actinomycetes; Bifidobacteriales; Bifidobacteriaceae.